UACGUAGGAGGCGAGCGUUGUCCGGAGUUACUGGGCGUAAAGCGUGCGCAGGCGGUUCGUUGUGUCGGCGGUGAAAGCCCCGGGCUUAACCUGGGAAUGGCCGUUGAAACUGGCGAACUGGAGUGUGGCAGAGGGGGGUGGAAUUCCGCGUGUAGCAGUGAAAUGCGUAGAGAUGCGGAGGAACACCGAUGGCGAAGGCAGCCCCCUGGGCUAACACUGACGCUCAGGCACGAAAGCGUGGGGAGCAAACAGG
This 253-nucleotide ribosomal RNA is filed under the name uncultured bacterium. RNAcentral describes it as "partial 16S ribosomal RNA". It matches the Rfam family "Bacterial small subunit ribosomal RNA", at positions 524 to 776 of the family's 1533-position model. The record is from RNAcentral.